GAGCCGAAAACAGAAAGGACGACGGAAGGCGGCUAAGUGGCCAAAAGGAAAAAUUAAAAACGCAAGAGAGGUUUUGGAGCUUUGGGGAAAAAAAAAAAACAGAGGAAAAUCUGGAAGUUGGGCUUCGGCUAAGAAGGCUACGGGAAAAACAGAAAAAUGGAAAUUGGGGAGAGCAAAAGGGUUGGAAGUAACAGGGGAGGUUUCGGGUAGACAAAAAGAAAGAAAAGGAAAAGAAACAGAGGGAGGAACAAGAGUGAAGAAACAAGGCUAAGAAAGAAAAACAGGGGAAGGGGUUUAGGCAAAAUGGGGGAGCUUCGUGAGAAAGAGGAACCGAGAGAGAGCUUGCGGUGGAGGAGUUGGAAGAAGAAAAGGAAAGGGGGAAAAGGAAAAAGCAAGCUGCAAAAGAGCUAAGAAAAACAGAGAGAAAAAUCUAAAAAGAGGGGGGGCUUCCGCUUCAAUAAUCGUGAGAGGAGGAAAAAUUCCCAACACGACAGUCACAAUUUUAACUCCCUCUGCCGCCUGCCCAGAUUCUUCCUCACACCAAUCCGCAUCCGCAGCAGCUGCUGUCCGUCAUCGCCACCGUAGCCGUCGAAGCAGCAGGGGUCGCUACUGCCACCACCCCCAACUUGCCAUUGCCGCCUGUGAAGCUUCACCAAGAACAUUGAAGUUCAAGAUGCUGAAAUUUGAGUUUUCUUGUUGUCAUGAUUGGACGAAAAAGGCACUUCCAGUUUUAGCAUUUGGGAUGGUGAGCAAGAUAAUGAUUUCCGUGAUUGGUUGCAUGCGGUCUGUUGAUUGGGUUGUAAUUUCUGGUUUCUCUGAUAAUGUUGGGGUUAGCCGGGACUUCGUGGGAGUGACAAUCAAUGAAGUUCCUAACGCCCAUUUUCUGUUUGACAAAAGGUCCGAGUGAGAAUGAGGAGUAAAUAAAUCCUUUGUAGUCCACGCGCAUGGGGAGAUGGGCAGGGGUUUUAGUCUAGUUAAUUUUGGCAGUUUACUCUCAUUAGAUCAAUUUAGUUAUGUCAUUCGUGCCAUGAUCGCAUAGCCUUCCCCUUUGUCUUUUGUGUGAGUUGCCAAAUUUGGUAAAGGAGUGUUUUUUGAUGGCAAAAGUUACUAAUCAAUAAAAUGGGAAGGAAUUUGGGGG
Coffea arabica (coffee) is the source of this 1138-nucleotide non-coding RNA. NCBI's taxonomy places the organism in Eukaryota, Viridiplantae, Streptophyta, Magnoliopsida, Gentianales, Rubiaceae. The record is from RefSeq and is a predicted model, not a curated record.